RNAcentral lists this ribosomal RNA (457 nucleotides) under uncultured bacterium. Its description in RNAcentral is "bacterial SSU rRNA". It matches the Rfam family "Bacterial small subunit ribosomal RNA", at positions 340 to 786 of the family's 1533-position model. The record is from RNAcentral.
UACGGGAGGCAGCAGUGGGGAAUAUUGCACAAUGGGCGCAAGCCUGAUGCAGCCAUGCCGCGUGUAUGAAGAAGGCCUUCGGGUUGUAAAGUACUUUCAGUCGUGAGGAAGGUGUUAAGGUUAAUAACCUUAGCAAUUGACGUUAGCGACAGAAGAAGCACCGGCUAACUCCGUGCCAGCAGCCGCGGUAAUACGGAGGGUGCGAGCGUUAAUCGGAAUUACUGGGCGUAAAGGGCACGCAGGCGGUUAAUUAAGUUGGAUGUGAAAUCCCCGGGCUUAACCUGGGAAUGGCAUUCAAGACUGGUUAGCUAGAGUCUUGUAGAGGGGGUAGAAUUCCAUGUGUAGCGGUGAAAUGCGUAGAGAUGUGGAGGAAUACCGGUGGCGAAGGCGGCCCCUGGACAAAAGGACUGACGCUCAUGUGCGAAAGCGUGGGGGAGCAAAACAGGGAUUAGAUACC